AUUGAACGCUGGCGGCAGGCCUAACACAUGCAAGUCGAACGGUAACAGGAAGCAGCUUGCUGCUUCGCUGACGAGUGGCGGACGGGUGAGUAAUGUCUGGGAAACUGCCUGAUGGAGGGGGAUAACUACUGGAAACGGUAGCUAAUACCGCAUAACGUCGCAAGACCAAAGAGGGGGACCUUAGGGCCUCUUGCCAUCGGAUGUGCCCAGAUGGGAUUAGCUAGUAGGUGGGGUAACGGCUCACCUAGGCGACGAUCCCUAGCUGGUCUGAGAGGAUGACCAGCCACACUGGAACUGAGACACGGUCCAGACUCCUACGGGAGGCAGCAGUGGGGAAUAUUGCACAAUGGGCGCAAGCCUGAUGCAGCCAUGCCGCGUGUAUGAAGAAGGCCUUCGGGUUGCAAAGUACUUUCAGCGGGGAGGAAGGGAGUAAAGUUAAUACCUUGGCUCAUUGACGUUACCCGCAGAAGAAGCACCGGCUAACUCCGUG
RNAcentral lists this ribosomal RNA (490 nucleotides) under uncultured bacterium. RNAcentral's name for it is "partial 16S ribosomal RNA". It matches the Rfam family "Bacterial small subunit ribosomal RNA", at positions 30 to 507 of the family's 1533-position model. The record is from RNAcentral.